UUAUAUAUUGCUAUGUCAGGGUAAGGGAAUUAUGACAUGUACAAUAACUCAUCGUCAACUAUAUUGCUUCCCAAGACAUGAUUUUACAAUGCCCGUAUCUAUCUAGAUGUACAAAUGAACACCACACGCCAACAAAAUUUAUCUCGACUGCAAUUUCAUACGGACUUCACUAAGCUACACCGUGAGCCUUCCAAAAUAUGGAGGACAUCAAUAUUCUGUUUAAUCUGUUUUGCGGGAUAUCUCAAGAUUCAGGCAAUUAUGUCUUCAGGAAUGUACUUGCAUUGCAUCUUCAGGAACAUUGCAUAUGUGGCCCUUGAGCGAGUAAUUUCAGCAACCAUUCUCUUUCCAGUUUAAAAAAGAAGACUCCCUCCGUUCAGAUUCCAAAGUUUUUAACCAAACAACCCAAAAUUGUCAAGACAAGUACCAGACUCAGG
Molecule: unclassified non-coding RNA, 434 nt
Filed under: Hevea brasiliensis (rubber tree)
Lineage: Eukaryota; Viridiplantae; Streptophyta; Magnoliopsida; Malpighiales; Euphorbiaceae
Source: RNAcentral